Molecule: ribosomal RNA, 533 nt
Filed under: Bifidobacterium dentium
Lineage: Bacteria; Bacillati; Actinomycetota; Actinomycetes; Bifidobacteriales; Bifidobacteriaceae
Description: bacterial SSU rRNA
Rfam family: Bacterial small subunit ribosomal RNA
Source: RNAcentral
CGGGUGGUAAUGCCGGAUGCUCCGGUUGGAUGCAUGUCCUUCCGGGAAAGAUCCGUCGGUAUGGGAUGGGGUCGCGUCCUAUCAGCUUGAUGGCGGGGUAACGGCCCACCAUGGCUUCGACGGGUAGCCGGCCUGAGAGGGCGACCGGCCACAUUGGGACUGAGAUACGGCCCAGACUCCUACGGGAGGCAGCAGUGGGGAAUAUUGCACAAUGGGCGCAAGCCUGAUGCAGCGACGCCGCGUGCGGGAUGGAGGCCUUCGGGUUGUAAACCGCUUUUGAUCGGGAGCAAGCCCUUCGGGGUGAGUGCACCUUUCGAAUAAGCACCGGCUAACUACGUGCCAGCAGCCGCGGUAAUACGUAGGGUGCAAGCGUUAUCCGGAAUUAUUGGGCGUAAAGGGCUCGUAGGCGGUUCGUCGCGUCCGGUGUGAAAGCCCAUCGCUUAACGGUGGGUCUGCGCCGGGUACGGGCGGGCUGGAGUGCGGUAGGGGAGACUGGAAUUCCCGGUGUAACGGUGGAAUGUGUAGAUAUCGGA